Molecule: long non-coding RNA, 1618 nt
Filed under: Malus domestica (apple)
Lineage: Eukaryota; Viridiplantae; Streptophyta; Magnoliopsida; Rosales; Rosaceae
Description: long non-coding RNA (MDOM_LNC020412)
Source: RNAcentral
AAGGGUUGUAACGGGGCUUGGGGUAUUGGCUAACAAAGAAGGGUAAAGGAUAAACAAACGUUCUUAAAACAAUAGUAAGCAAAGCAAUGAAAUUGACACUUAGAAUUCACUUUAGAGUGCAUAAAACAACUUUAAACACAAAGGGGAAUACGCAUGCAUACUUAGGGUCAAAUGCAACGUUUUGGACCCUUUCUUCAACAACCAACAACUUAGAGCUCAUUUUCAUGCUCUUCCAACUCCUUUUCAUACUUUUCACAACUUUUUCUUUUUUUCUUUCUAUUUUGCACGAAUUUUUUUUUUUUUUUUUUCUUUCUUUGCCGUGCCUCAAUAUUUCUUUUGGCACACAAAAGUUCCUUCCCCCACACUUAUGUUUCUGCAAUACCUUGAUCAAAAGGAAUUCAUCUUGAGUCAUGCUUAACUACGCUUUAAGAACAAGGGUAUGGAUAAUCCUAAUCUAGGCUAGGUAAGGAUAAUGUGGGUUAACAAACAAUAUAGGCUAAACAAGGCUCAACGGGGUUAAACCUACAAAAACGAAUGCAUGGAAUGAAGGCUUUUUGGCUAUGGUGGUAACUACUAACUUCAUCUUGAAUAUGUGUUAUGCAAUUCAAUAACAUGUUUUGAAUGAAAUUGGCAUGAGUUCUAGCAUUUGGAACUAAAUGAUGAAACGCCUUCUAAGUAGUAACUAAGCAAAGAAUAAUGAGAUCAUGCUACGACUUCAGAAAACAACAAUGCACAGAUUUUAACUCUCCAAAUAAACGUUUAGGCUCAAGUCUCACAAGGUUGUAGCGUUUGUUUGAGUUCCUUCCUUCAAGCAUGUUACAAAAACUAAUUUUUUUUCUUUAUGAUUACAUGUGAAUUCAUAAGUGAUAACCACAACCAAGCAUAAACAAAGAGUAAAUCAAACUUUUAUCCAUGUUUAUAACUCUCUUUAACAAUCAUGCAAUUACAAACCGAAUCCUCAUCAUUGUGUUGGAAGGUACCCUAAGACACAAACAAGCACACAAAAAACAACUAUUUUUUGAGUUUUUUCAAAACCAUUUUUCAAAUUUUUAUGGGAUUUUUCGGAUUUUUAAGUCAAAACACACAAAAACACUCUAAAACAGCUUAAAAACACUUAAAACAGCAAGGAACAACAUUGUAAGUUAUGAGUGAUAAAACCCUACGAAUUUGCAUCAAAACACUUUGGUUACCCCCCCCACUUAAAUCGAAACAUUGUCUCAAUGUUUCAAGCAUAAACUAACACACAUAACACGUAAACAAACAAACAGCAACUAACAUAACAAACAUGGCAGCACAAAAUAAACAACAAAGAGAAGGGUUUAGGAACGCAAAUCUGGAAUUGGAGUGCUCUCUCGGUCUUCCUUUGUUGAAUGCAUGGGUUGCCUCCCAAGUAGCGCUUUCUUUAACGUCUUGCAGCCGGACGAUGCUCCAUUGAAGGUUUAUGGAACCCCACGGCAUGGAGGAGUUUUUUGAUGUGAAACAUAUAAGCACUCAAAUUAAACCCUCUUUUUAUCAAUUGUAGCAAUAUAUGUAAGUAGGGAUCGUUCUAGACCGGGGAUUAGGAGGGAUUGCAAAAUCACUUGGAAUUGACUCAAAAACGUAAAUACAAGUUUAAAAC